This 1250-nucleotide ribosomal RNA is filed under the name Microbacterium sp. RNAcentral describes it as "bacterial SSU rRNA". It matches the Rfam family "Bacterial small subunit ribosomal RNA", at positions 60 to 1322 of the family's 1533-position model. The record is from RNAcentral. Lineage: Bacteria; Bacillati; Actinomycetota; Actinomycetes; Micrococcales; Microbacteriaceae.
AGUCGAACGGUGAAGCCAAGCUUGCUUGGUGGAUCAGUGGCGAACGGGUGAGUAACACGUGAGCAACCUGCCCUGGACUCUGGGAUAAGCGCUGGAAACGGCGUCUAAUACUGGAUAUGAGCUCCUUCCGCAUGGUGGGGGUUGGAAAGAUUUUUCGGUCUGGGAUGGGCUCGCGGCCUAUCAGCUUGUUGGUGAGGUAAUGGCUCACCAAGGCGUCGACGGGUAGCCGGCCUGAGAGGGUGACCGGCCACACUGGGACUGAGACACGGCCCAGACUCCUACGGGAGGCAGCAGUGGGGAAUAUUGCACAAUGGGCGGAAGCCUGAUGCAGCAACGCCGCGUGAGGGAUGACGGCCUUCGGGUUGUAAACCUCUUUUAGCAGGGAAGAAGCGAGAGUGACGGUACCUGCAGAAAAAGCGCCGGCUAACUACGUGCCAGCAGCCGCGGUAAUACGUAGGGCGCAAGCGUUAUCCGGAAUUAUUGGGCGUAAAGAGCUCGUAGGCGGUUUGUCGCGUCUGCUGUGAAAUCCCGAGGCUCAACCUCGGGCCUGCAGUGGGUACGGGCAGACUAGAGUGCGGUAGGGGAGAUUGGAAUUCCUGGUGUAGCGGUGGAAUGCGCAGAUAUCAGGAGGAACACCGAUGGCGAAGGCAGAUCUCUGGGCCGUAACUGACGCUGAGGAGCGAAAGGGUGGGGAGCAAACAGGCUUAGAUACCCUGGUAGUCCACCCCGUAAACGUUGGGAACUAGUUGUGGGGACCAUUCCACGGUUUCCGUGACGCAGCUAACGCAUUAAGUUCCCCGCCUGGGGAGUACGGCCGCAAGGCUAAAACUCAAAGGAAUUGACGGGGACCCGCACAAGCGGCGGAGCAUGCGGAUUAAUUCGAUGCAACGCGAAGAACCUUACCAAGGCUUGACAUACACCAGAACACCGUAGAAAUACGGGACUCUUUGGACACUGGUGAACAGGUGGUGCAUGGUUGUCGUCAGCUCGUGUCGUGAGAUGUUGGGUUAAGUCCCGCAACGAGCGCAACCCUCGUUCUAUGUUGCCAGCACGUAAUGGUGGGAACUCAUGGGAUACUGCCGGGGUCAACUCGGAGGAAGGUGGGGAUGACGUCAAAUCAUCAUGCCCCUUAUGUCUUGGGCUUCACGCAUGCUACAAUGGCCGGUACAAAGGGCUGCAAUACUGUGAGGUGGAGCGAAUCCCAAAAAGCCGGUCCCAGUUCGGAUUGAGGUCUGCAACUCGACCUCAUG